RNAcentral lists this long non-coding RNA (669 nucleotides) under Toxoplasma gondii VEG. Lineage: Eukaryota; Apicomplexa; Conoidasida; Eucoccidiorida; Sarcocystidae. The record is from RNAcentral.
AGAGAGAGAGAGAAACUCCGUUCCCCACUGAUUGCUUUCAUUUUCGCAGUUCUCUUCAGGAACGAAUUCACCGGCUUCCCCGGCCGGACGAAGGAACCGAGGACCGAGUUUUCACUCGAAGUCUCCGCGUUCUGCUUUCAGCGGCUCGGGUGUAUGUACACCGCACGCCCAGCGAUCGCUGGCCACUGCCUCUUUGUGCAUAUGCAUGUUUGAGCAAAAGCAUCUUCGGCGUCUUCGUUGCGCCUCGGAGAUUCUUUCUUGCACUCGAACGCUCCAGGACUUGCAGGAACGCUUCUCGCUUUCAUGUCUCUGCAGAAAUGCGACUUUUUCUCUCGCCGCCAGCCAGUGCGGGUGCUCCAUCGCGUUUCUUCACCUGCGCCGCGGUUCUCUCCUUCUAGGCUGAGGCUCUCGUUUCGCCUGUUUUUUUUUACGCACACCUUUCUUGUCGCGUCUUGCGUCUGUUACUCUCGGUGUUGAGCAAGAGAGGACGUCCAGCGCCCUGUGCGUCUCUCGGCAUCCCCGCAACCGAGUCUCUCAGGUCUCCCCAGAUCUGCGCCUCCGUUCACUCUCAAGAUUUCUCCAACAAAGACCCCACCCAACCUCUUGACAGCGAGGACGCGACUGGAAACCGGAAUUCCCCAUUCUUGCCCGGACUCGCGCAAAGAAGCU